Long non-coding RNA from Grus americana (Whooping crane), 801 nucleotides. RefSeq lists it as uncharacterized. NCBI's taxonomy places the organism in Eukaryota, Metazoa, Chordata, Aves, Gruiformes, Gruidae. The transcript is spliced from 5 exons. The record is from RefSeq and is a predicted model, not a curated record.
CAUUUUUGCCUGAUGAAGAGAUGCAGAACAACAUUCUUGGAACAAGAUUCUCCAACAUCUUGAACAAAAUUUAAAACUGCAAAACUAAGAGUCUCAUGAAGAGGGCAUCCUAAAGGAUAGGACACCCUUCGGGACAUUCUCCCAUUUUAUGAAGCAGUAACAACAUUCUGAAGGAUCUCACGAAUAACAGAAAGGGAUGCUUUGUCAUCAUCCACCACUGGAGUCUCGCCUGCAAAUGAAGCGUUGAAGAGAAGGAAUGAAAGAAGCCCUAAUUUGGUGAUAUGUGGUCCACAGUCCUCAGCGGAAAGGUCUGCUAACAAAGCAUUUGCUUGUGCCAGUGGCAGUUCACUAAAUAUUAGACCCAGAACAUUGCCCAGUUUUACAUGGCCUGAAGGAUUUAUUUGGAGCAAGGUACCGGCAUGACAACUGGGCUUAUGAAGCUGUUCCCCUGCAGCAGAAGACCUCCACCAGUUCCUUUCAGAAUUUGGCAGCCAGCAGUAGUCAGCCCCUUCUGGAAGGUUCCAUUCCAGCCUCUCCUCUGCAGUGGCACCUUUUGUGAUCUGGAGACAGAAAACAAGGUAACCCUUGGUAUUUACAUCUCAGAGACAAUGACGAUUAAUGCACUGGGAGCAUGGUUUAAUUUGGAAGCAUGGCAGACAGAAAAAUAAUGAGUUGCAACUAUGCUAAAUCUGGUGAUUUCAUCCCCACUGUCAGAAAUAUCUAGCAAAAUUAACUGAAGGCAAACCUGAUAAAAAAUAUGAAAGUUUCUUUCAUUGGGGGCCUGAUAGGCAACUCUGGUCU